AACGAACGCUGGCGGCAUGCCUAACACAUGCAAGUCGAACGAGACCUUCGGGUCUAGUGGCGCACGGGUGCGUAACGCGUGGGAACCUGCCCUUAGGUUCGGAAUAACUCCCCGAAAGGGGUGCUAAUACCGGAUAAUGUCUUCGGACCAAAGAUUUAUCGCCUUUGGAUGGGCCCGCGUUGGAUCAGCUAGUUGGUAGGGUAAAAGCCUACCAAGGCGACGAUCCAUAGCUGGUCUGAGAGGAUGAUCAGCCACACUGGGACUGAGACACGGCCCAGACUCCUACGGGAGGCAGCAGUGGGGAAUAUUGGACAAGGGGCGAAGGCCUGAGCCAGCAAUGCCGCGUGAGUGAUGAAGGCCUUAGGGUUGUAAAGCUCUUUUACCCGGGAUGAUAAUGACAGUACCGGGAGAAUAAGCUCCGGCUAACUCCGUG
RNAcentral lists this ribosomal RNA (433 nucleotides) under uncultured bacterium. RNAcentral describes it as "partial 16S ribosomal RNA". It matches the Rfam family "Bacterial small subunit ribosomal RNA", at positions 29 to 507 of the family's 1533-position model. The record is from RNAcentral.